This is a non-coding RNA of Microcebus murinus (gray mouse lemur), 4776 nucleotides long. NCBI's taxonomy places the organism in Eukaryota, Metazoa, Chordata, Mammalia, Primates, Cheirogaleidae. The record is from RefSeq and is a predicted model, not a curated record.
ACGGGUUGGGGGAGCAGUGGGGCCCUGUUGCCGCUGAGCUCUGCGUGAGGGAGGGCUGGCAGCUGCAAGGUGGCCCGGCACAGGUGUCGCUGGAUGGGAACGUCACUCUCCAACAAUGCUGCCCCACGCCUCUCCCGCAGCUGACGAAAGGCUGCAGCUGCAGCGAUGGCAACAAGGCCCUGAGCACCUAACAUGACAUGCCGGGGACGCCACCCGCAGCCCUGUCCCUGUGGCUGUCUGCACGCCAUCCAUCUGCGGCCUGCUCGCGACACCUGCAGCCAGGCUCCCGGCCACUCUCUCCGCGCUCCAGCCCCCGGCUCCUGUGUGACCGGUGGCCCGUUCAGGCCUGGCACGGACUCCUGGCAUUGGGCACGGUGUGAGUGGCAUGCCAGCCUCAAAAAUGAUGGAGUGUCCCUGGCCACCACCCCCCAAGGGCCUGGUUGCCCGACUGCCCUCCGGCCAGAACCCACCUGGCUCCCUCCGUGCUCUGCGAAAGGCCGGGAGCAGAUGGCGAAUUACCGGGGCUGAUUUACAGCGACGCGGAGUCAGCCGAGGUCCCUCAGCCAUGGAGUCGAGUUUCAAGUGCUCAAUGGUCACAUGUGGCUACUGGUUACUGCGCUAGACAGGGCAGACGGAGAAGCUUCACGUCACCCCGGAACAUUCUACCCGAGGGGCUGGUGGAGAGAAGGCGGGUUUUAAGUGACAAGAGCUGAUACCUCCGUGUUGCUGACGUGCAGACGCACCCUUGCCUGCGUGCCUCCCUCUGCGUGCACAGACCAUGCGCUGCUCCAAGAACGCUACGUGCAUGGAUUCAGUAUAGCCACCCUGGAGGGCAGGAUUUCAUGUCUGAGAUCAGCAAACGUUUUCUGUGCAGAACCAGACGGUGAGUACUUCGGGUGUGGCUAUUUUCGGCUCUGUGGGCCAUACAGUCUCCGUCACCCCCACCCAACCCUGCCGUCGUGGCGUGAAAGUGGCCGCGGACCACACAGAAACGGACGGGCCCGGCCGUGUUUCAGUAAAUGUUUAUGGGCGCGAUAAUGUUUAAUUUCGUGUCAUUUUCGCAGGUCCCAAAAUAUUCUUCGAUUUUUUUUUUCCAACCAUUUAAAAAUGUAAAAACCGUUCUUACGGGCUGAACGAAAACAGAGAGCGGGCCGGCCCCCGAUUCGCAUCAUCCCAUUUCACAGAUGUGGAAAGCGAGGCACAGGGAGACCACAGGGGCUGUCUGGGGUCCCACAGCCACAGACGGCAGAGCUGAGACUUGCUUCCGCCUCUCCCCACGUCAGCGGCGGUGCGGCUGCAGGCAGUGGUCGUUGCUGUCAAGGCACCACGAGGGUGAUAGGGCAGCAACCAGGGGAGAGGCCGGCGUCUAGAUCAGAUGAACAAGAGGACCUUACCAAGGAUUCCUCUUGGCCUGAGACAGCUGAGGAGAAGGACGCAGCCGUGGGAUGACCCGGAGGUGCACCCGGGCAGAGGGACGUGCAAUGCCGGCUGCGGUGGCGCGAGCCAGUGCGCAGGAGCGGUGGGGGAGGGGCGGACCGGCAGGGCCUGGGUGUGGCGACAGGCACUGUUUCAAAUGCAAAGGGUAGUCACUGGGCAUUUUAGCAGGAAAACGACUUGUAAGAUUCACGAGUAUAACCACAGACCACCCUCGGUGCAUAAGAGAGAGGCAGGAAGCCAGUUAGAACGCCGCUGUCGCCCACACAGGCGAUGGCGGUGGCUGAGAGGGGCAGAGGCCGGGGAGACACAGGGAUGGGGAUGGACUCGGCUGUCUUUUGAAUUGGGGCCAACAGGAUUUAUCGUUCCCGUAGAUGCGGGAGGUUAGGGAGAGGGAAACGUGGAGUGACUGGUUCUGUGUGCUUGUGCGAUGGGUGGGAUGUUCAGCCACACGGAGGCUGGGAGGGCAGGGAGGGGGACCGGUCUGGGAGAGGAAAGCAAGAUUUCUGCCCUGAAACACGCUGAGCUCGAGAUGCCAUUGGACAUCCAAGCAGUGACAGCCAAGGGCGUUUGAUACUGGAAUCUCGAGCCCAGCGAAGAGGCCAGGGCAGGAUUCACGGAUGUGGGGAGCGGCAGCAGGUUAGAGCCGUGGGUCGGAGGGAAAAGGAGCAGGCACUGAGGGGAGGGAGUUGCACUAGCGCAAGGUCACGGGGAUGUGGGGUCACGGGAGUGUGAGGUCACAGGACUGUGAAGUCACGGGGCUGAGAGAGAAGGGAGAGUUUGGAAGAUUUCAGAGAACUUCAGAGCAGGUCAAGGUGCAGCAAGGACAGGGAGGUGAGGAGAGCUGGCCAGCGUGGAAUUCAGCUACGUGGCGCGAGCAGCGCCCUGCACACAGCAGCUUCCGUAGGUGGGGGGGACACUCCCUCCCCAGAGGCCAGGUCAUAGUGGAGCGUGUCCAAGGCUUCCGGUCACUGCAACCACCAGAAGGAAGAGCUAGCGCCACUGCUUCCCUCUUGACGAGGUCACAAGGUCAAGGGCAGGGGUCCACAGGUGAGUCUCCCCGUUCUAAACGCUUUGCAGUAGAAUGGCUGGAGUGGGGGUCAGCAGGUCUGUCUGCCAAGGGCCACAUGGCAAACAUUUUAGGUCUUGUGGGCCAGACGGUCCCUGUCACAACUUUCUCAAUUCUUCCGUUGUAGCAUGAAAGCAGCCACAGACACAACACAGAACAGUAUUUACAAAAUCAUGCAGUGGGCUGGAUUUGGCCCAGGAGCUAUCAAAGGACAGGGGCAGGAGCUGUCUUAAGAGGAGAGGGAUGGGUGUGGUCUCCAGCAGAGAGGACGAGAAGGAUGUCACAAUGCCAGCCAGCCACUGGCCAAAGCCUUCUGAAGGUGCUGGCCGUGAGGGCAGUCUGAUGCUAAUUUCUGAGCUUAGCUGAUUUUUGGCAGGAGGUGGAGGGUCCAACCUGCAGCUACGGGAGAGACGCAGAGCAGGCAGGCUGGGCACGUGCACCUGUGUGUUGGGGAGGGGGCCAGUGGGAGAGGAUGGAGGAGACAUAGGAUGUCCCACGGGGCCACCUCCCCUGUGAGCCUGCGGCAAGUCUGCGUUUUGUGUGAUUCAAGGCACUGCAGCCUUCCUGUAUAGGACCAAGGUCUUCGCGCACAUUACCCCCACCUUCGCCCACAUCCCACUGAAACAGUAGUGAGAAGUGCCAGUGGGAGUAUCUGGAGAACCUGCUGAGGACAGCAGGGAGCCACCCACGGGCCAGAGGUUUGGAUGUGGUCAGGUCGGUGGGGAGGAGCCACCACCCAAAACUCACCCGGACUUGGGGAGGUGGCAGGGGCACAGAGGAUUCCUGCUCCCCUUUACAGUCUACAAAUGUCGGGCAGCCGUGGAAGGUGAGUCUAAGUCAGCCCGCUGCGCCAGUCAGCGGCUCCCAGCCCUGUGCAGGUAGAGUGACCGGCAGGGGCCGUAUUGACCCCCGGGUGAAGAGCAGGAACGUGCUCUCUGCAGAACUGAUUACCCGAGGAAGGCGAGGUCGGCGGGUGGCUGCGAGGCUGGCAACGCCACCGCCUCCUGCAUUUGCCAGCGCGCCUCUCCCCGUCCCGGCCUUGCGCACGCCGCAGAGCUCAUGGGAGCCGCUUGCUCACAGGACAUCAGGGGACACGUGCUUCUCGUUUUACCUCUUUCCACCCUCCUGUAUUGUUUUACAGGCAAGUAUUACGUUUACAAACAUUUUUAAGAUAAGCAAAGAUUAAGAUGAAAUACACCACAUUUAACAAAAUGUUAGUAUUUUAUAACGUAGAAGGAGUUUUCAUAAAUAAUGAUAAAGGCAACUCUGCAGAAAAUGGCCAAGGAAUAUAAACAAAUUACAGAAAAACAAUGGCUAAUAUGUGCACUAGGACCAGGGGAAAACACAGAAUUUACCCCCAGAUAGUUCAAAUGAUGGCAAUUAAAUAAAGGGUCACCUAACAGAGGGAUGGGCAGGGUUGAGGAAAGGGGCAAUGGACAAUGAAGCGGCCAGAGGCUGGCAGCAGCAGGAAGCUGUCACCACUCCUAGGCUAAACCGGCAGUGGGAGCAAAGUGUCACCUGAGUCCCGAAGAAGUGGAACACGGAGGAAGGGCUGCCCUGUACGGGCUUUAGUUUUAAAAUGAUGCCAACACCAGAGUCUCGGGGUUGGAGCAGGGUGGAAUACCCCGACCCCUCCCUCUUCUUUCCCCCCCUCCAAACUCCUGUCCCAGCGUUCCAGAAGUCCAUUCCAUAGACAAACUCACACAUAUCCACAAAAUGUGAGUAGAAACAUUUUCACUGCAGCAUUAUUUAUAAUGGAAAAAACCAGAAACAAUAUAAAUGUCCAAUAAUAGGGAUGAUGAUGUAGAUAAAGAUUAUGAUGGCCAAUACUUGUGUGCGUGUGUGUGAGUGUGUGUGCACACUUAGUAUGUGUCAGGACUGAGUCUGAGCAGUUUGCAUGUAUCAUCCCAUUUAAUCUCACAAUAAUCCCAUGUGGCAGGCACUAUUAUUCCCAUUUUAGAUGAGUAAAUUGAACAUCAGUAGGAGUAGAGUGAAACUAUAACACAGGCAUACUAUGGAACACUGUGCAGUUAUUUUUAAAAAAAGGACAUAGGCCCAGGUAAAUGAAGCUGGAAAGAAACACAUUAAGAAAAAAGGUCAUAGAAAUAUUUGUAUAGUUUGAUCCCUUUUAUAUUUUUAAAUCAGCAAUUCUGUAUGUGUAUAUAGAAAAAAGGUCGGGAAGGACACAGCCAAUAAUGAUGGUCACCUGUUGGGGACACUGGGACCUGGAGAGUGGCAUUUUUAUUUUACAUAUAAGCAGCAUGUGCCCCCCA